GUGGUCAAGUGUUUAAGAGCAGUCGGUGGAUGCCUUGGCAUCAGGAGCCGAAGAAGGACGUGGUAGCCUGCGAUAAGCCUCGGGGAGUUGGCAAACAAGCUGUGAUCCGAGGGUGUCCGAAUGGGGAAACCCCGCACAAGUCAUGUUGUGUGACCCGCACCUGAAUAUAUAGGGUGUGUGGAGGGAACGCCGGGAAGUGAAACAUCUCAGUACCGGCAGGAAGAGAUAUUCCGUGAGUAGUGGCGAGCGAAAGCGGAUGAGGCUAAACCGUGCGCAUGUUCAAGCCGGCAGGCGUUGUGUGUGCGGUGUUGUGGGACCUUCUGACAGUCGCUGCCGUGACUGUAGGGAGUGAGAAAAUCGUGUCGUAGUCGAACGGUCUUGAAUGGCCGACCGUAGAGGGUGGUAGUCCUGUAGACGAAACGGCAUGGUCUCCUUGGAGUGUUCCCGAGUAGCACGGGGCCCGUGAAAUCCCGUGUGAAUCUGGCAAGACCACUUGCUAAGCCUAAAUACUACCUGAUGACCGAUAGCGGACAAGUACCGUGAGGGAAAGGUGAAAAGUACCCCGGGAGGGGAGUGAAAUAGUACCUGAAACCGGCUGCUUACAAUCCGUCGGAGCCUCCUUAGCAGGGGUGACGGCGUGCCUUUUGAAGAAUGAGCCUGCGAGUUAGUGGUACGUGGCGAGGUUAACCCGUGUGGGGAAGCCGUAGCGAAAGCGAGUCCGAAUAGGGCGUUUCAGUCGCGUGCUCUAGACCCGAAGCGGAGUGAUCUACCCAUGGGCAGGUUGAAGCACUGGUAAGACAGUGUGGAGGACCGAACCCACCAGGGUUGAAAACCUGGGGGAUGACCUGUGGGUAGGGGUGAAAGGCCAAUCAAACUCCGUGAUAGCUGGUUCUCCCCGAAAUGCAUAUAGGUGCAGCGUUGCGUGUUCCUUGCCGGAGGUAGAGCUACUGGAUGGCCGAUGGGCCCUACCAGGUUACUGACGUCAGCCAAACUCCGAAUGCCGGUAAGCCAAGCGCAGCAGUGAGACUGUGGGGGAUAAGCUUCAUAGUCGAGAGGGAAACAGCCCAGAACACCAGCUAAGGCCCCUAAGCGUGUGCUAAGUGGGAAAGGAUGUGGAGUUGCCCAGACAACCAGGAGGUUGGCUUAGAAGCAGCCACCCUUGAAAGAGUGCGUAAUAGCUCACUGGUCAAGUGAUUCCGCGCCGAUAAUGUAGCGGGGCUCAAGCACACCGCCGAAGCUGUGUCAUGCGAACUUUGCUAAGCCUUCGUGGUUCAGGCGUUCGCAUGGGUAGGGGAGCGUCGUGUGGGCAGUGAAGCCGCGGAGUGAUCCAGUGGUGGAGCCUACACGAGUGAGAAUGCAGGCAUGAGUAGCGAAAGACGGGUGAGAAACCCGUCCGCCGAAUGACCAAGGGUUCCAGGGCCAGGUUAAUCCGCCCUGGGUAAGUCGGGACCUAAGGCGAGGCCGACAGGCGUAGUCGAUGGACAACGGGUUGAUAUUCCCGUACCGGCGAAGGACCGCCCAUACCGAGCUCAGGUGUACUAACCACCCAAACCGUGCCCAUAGGGUUCCUUCGGGAGCCCACCGGGCACGGGGCGCGUGGGACCUCGCCUGGUAGUAGGUAAGCGUAUUAACAGGGGUGACGCAUGAAGGUAGCCAGUUGGAGCGAUGGUUGUCUCCUUCCAAGCCCGUAGGAGGUUUCCCAGGCAAAUCCGGGAAACAUGUACUCCGAGAGGUGAUGGUGACCACGUAUGUGGGAAUAUGGUGAUCCUAUGGUGCCAAGAAAAACCUCGACGCGAGGGACUAGCCGCCCGUACCCUAAACCGACUCAGGUGGUCAGGUAGAGAAUACUAAGGCGAUCGAGUGAAUCGUGGUUAAGGAACUCGGCAAAAUGCCCCCGUAACUUCGGGAGAAGGGGGGCCCGGACCGUGACACCCACUUGCUGGGUAGAGCGGGCAAGGGCCGCAGAGACCAGGGAGAAGCGACUGUUUACUAAAAACACAGGUCCGUGCGAAGUCGCAAGACGAUGUAUACGGACUGACGCCUGCCCGGUGCUGGAAGGUUAAGAGGACCGGUUAGAGCCUUCGGGUUCGAAGCUGAGAAUUUAAGCCCCAGUAAACGGCGGUGGUAACUAUAACCAUCCUAAGGUAGCGAAAUUCCUUGUCGGGUAAGUUCCGACCUGCACGAAUGGCGUAACGACUUCUCCGCUGUCUCAACCGCGAACUCGGCGAAAUUGCACUACGAGUAAAGAUGCUCGUUACGCGCAGCAGGACGGAAAGACCCCGGGACCUUUACUAUAGCUUGGUAUUGGUGUUCGGAGCGGCUUGUGUAGGAUAGGUGGGAGACUGUGAAGCAGCCACGCCAGUGGUUGUGGAGUCGUCCUUGAAAUACCACUCUGGUCGCUUUGGACAUCUAACUUCGGACCGUAAUCCGGUUCAGGGACAGUGCCUGGUGGGUAGUUUAACUGGGGCGGUUGCCUCCCAAAAUGUAACGGAGGCGCCCAAAGGUUCCCUCAGCCUGGUUGGCAAUCAGGUGUUGAGUGUAAGUGCACAAGGGAGCUUGACUGUGAGACCGACAGGUCGAACAGGGACGAAAGUCGGGACUAGUGAUCCGGCGGUGGCUUGUGGAAGCGCCGUCGCUCAUCGGAUAAAAGGUACCCCGGGGAUAACAGGCUGAUCUUGCCCAAGAGUCCAUAUCGACGGCAUGGUUUGGCACCUCGAUGUCGGCUCGUCGCAUCCUGGGGCUGGAGUCGGUCCCAAGGGUUGGGCUGUUCGCCCAUUAAAGCGGCACGCGAGCUGGGUUUAGAACGUCGUGAGACAGUUCGGUCCCUAUCCGCUGCGCGCGCAGGAAACUUGAGAAGUGCUGUCCUUAGUACGAGAGGACCGGGACGGACUAACCUCUGGUGUGCCAGUUGUUCCGCCAGGAGCACUGCUGGUUAGCUACGUUGGGAAGGGAUAACCGCUGAAAGCAUCUAAGCGGGAAGCCUACUUCAAGAUGAGGUUUCCAUCACCCCUUUGAGGGUGGAGAGGCCCCCAGUAGACCACUGGGUUGAUAGGCCGGAAGUGGAAGCAGGGACUAAAGACCUGUGGAGCUGACCGGUACUAAUAGGCCGACCACUUACCCA
This 3121-nucleotide ribosomal RNA is filed under the name Salana multivorans. Its description in RNAcentral is "bacterial LSU rRNA". It matches the Rfam family "Bacterial large subunit ribosomal RNA". The record is from RNAcentral. Lineage: Bacteria; Bacillati; Actinomycetota; Actinomycetes; Micrococcales; Beutenbergiaceae.